Molecule: ribosomal RNA, 442 nt
Filed under: uncultured bacterium
Lineage: Bacteria
Description: partial 16S ribosomal RNA
Rfam family: Bacterial small subunit ribosomal RNA
Source: RNAcentral
CCUACGGGAGGCUGCAGUGGGGAAUAUUGGGCAAUGGGCGCAAGCCUGACCCAGCAAAGCCGCGUGAGGGAAGAAGGCUCUCGGGUUGUAAACUUCUUUGAAAGGGGGAGAGCAGAAGAGGGUACCCUGAAAACAAGCCACGGCUAACUACGUGCCAGCAGCCGCGGUAAUACGUAGGUGGCAAGCGUUGUCCGGAUUUACUGGGUGUAAAGGGCGUGUAGCCGGGAAUGCAAGUCAGCUGUGAAAUCCGGAGGCUCAACCUCCGAAUUGCGUUUGAAACUGGUGUUCUUGAGUACUGGAGAGGCAGACGGAAUGCCUGGUGUAGCGGUGAAAUGCGUAGAUAUAAGGAGGAACACCAGUGGCGAAGGCGGUCUGCUGGACAGCAACUGACGGUGAGGCGCGAAAGCGUGGGGAGCAAACAGGAUUAGAUACCCGAGUAGUC